Molecule: long non-coding RNA, 321 nt
Organism: Neopsephotus bourkii (Bourke's parrot)
Lineage: Eukaryota; Metazoa; Chordata; Aves; Psittaciformes; Psittacidae
Exons: 2
Source: RefSeq, a predicted model, not a curated record
AGUGCGAUUUCAGCAUGUUACAGGUGUCUUUCUCCUCAAGUUCCCUUACAGAUCCCAACCUGUAUCUUUUAUUAGGUAGCACAAGGGACAUGGACCCCAGAGUGUACACCUGUAUUGGUGAUGAGCGGUUUCACAUUUGGUGCCAAUUAGAGACGUUCCAGGCUACUGAUACAGUUACAAACACUGAUUCUCAGAAACAUGUGAAAUGUGUGGACCAGCUUCUGAUCAAUUCAUUCCAAAGGAGCAGCAGCACCAGUGACUUCAGCUGAGUCACUCCUGAUUUAUAGAUCUGAUUCAUACACAAUAAAAGAGCCUGGCCCU